This 586-nucleotide long non-coding RNA is filed under the name Carica papaya (papaya). RNAcentral's name for it is "long non-coding RNA (CPAP_LNC004766)". The record is from RNAcentral. Lineage: Eukaryota; Viridiplantae; Streptophyta; Magnoliopsida; Brassicales; Caricaceae.
CCAUCUCCCAGGAUAUCUAGUUAGGCUGUCAUCUUAUUUAUUUAUCAAAUCACACCCCUUUCCUAUUUUUUCUUAGUCUUCGUCACCAAAUCAAACAUAAAUACAUAAAUAAGUAAACAUGCAUCCGACAAUGCAAUCAUAUCUUAGAUCCCAAAAUCAAACAGUGGUCAAGUAAGGCAGUAAUACAUGCUUUUAAACCAUACAAUAUAUAAACUAGAAACCAUCAUUCUUUUAAACUACAAGAUCAAUCAACAAAAAUCAAUAGAGAACAAUGUUCGGUUCGGGCUCCAUUAGCAAUCCGUAAUUAAUUAUGCACAUCUAUUUGAUUUGUACAAAAUACAGUAUCAUCAUUUAUUCAAAUGUCAAUUCCAUGACAGGAAAAAGGGUUAGGGGUCCUUACUUGAUUUGACACUGAAAAGCUAAAUAGCUUACUGCGCCUACAGGUGGUCUCUAGUUUCAUGAAUUUUUCUUCAGGAACUGAAAUGCGUUUCCGGUACCUAUAAAUGUCCCAAAUAACCCAAAAAUUAGACCUAGGGCCUACUUGGCCAAUUUCAAAAAUCCAGCAGGGCGGCACUGCCGCUUGCAG